Long non-coding RNA from Labrus mixtus (cuckoo wrasse), 746 nucleotides. RefSeq lists it as uncharacterized. The record is from RefSeq and is a predicted model, not a curated record. NCBI's taxonomy places the organism in Eukaryota, Metazoa, Chordata, Actinopteri, Labriformes, Labridae. The transcript has 3 exons.
GACGUUGAAUACGGAGAUCUGUCAGAUGGUUUUUGUGUCUUAAUGAUCUGCUGAGCCACUAACAAAGACACAGAUAGAGAUUCUCUAGAAGUGAUGUUCAUGUUUGACCUGCUCCUCCAUGUUUCUCUGACACCACGAGGCUCGCGCUCGCUCUGACACAAUCGCGACGUCGACUCCAAACAAACCACAACAAAGCAGUCAUGGCCUCCUCACAGGUGAACGAUUUUAUUACUAAAUGUCUCAUAAAUAACAUUUUCAUUCUUAAAGUCAGCAGGAAGGAGAUUCUCUAGUUUACAGAACAUCUUUGUGUUUCUAUAAAAAAAUCAGACUCAGACGAGUCGAGUCGGGCUAAUACAGCGUGUAAAACCUCUAUUACAAACAUUACGCUAACGUGUCACACCGUGUGUCCAAUGAGAGACUCUGAGACGUCACAUGUACAACUAUCCUCAUGUGUGCUAAAACCGAAUACACGACGCAGACGUGUGUGUGUGUUCAGAUUGUCUGUGUGUGUGUGUGUGUGUGUGUGUGUGUCCUAACAUUUCUAAAAUGACCAAAACAUCUUUUAUUAGCGUUUAAACUGUUCUGAACUGAGGAGAUAUUAACCGUGUUCAGAGCACCAUUUCAAGACGUGAUAUUUACGCCCUGUGAUGUCUGAAUGUGGUGGAGGAGUAAUGGGGGACAAUGUGACACCCCCCCCCCCCCCCCCCCACCAUCUUCAGAGGUAGUAACAGAGGAGAGACGGGAUC